UGGUUGUCAGAAACUGUGAUGUGCUGUGUGUU
Molecule: non-coding RNA, 32 nt
Filed under: Mus musculus (house mouse)
Lineage: Eukaryota; Metazoa; Chordata; Mammalia; Rodentia; Muridae
Source: RNAcentral